This 426-nucleotide ribosomal RNA is filed under the name uncultured bacterium. RNAcentral describes it as "bacterial SSU rRNA". It matches the Rfam family "Bacterial small subunit ribosomal RNA", at positions 354 to 796 of the family's 1533-position model. The record is from RNAcentral.
GCAGGGAAUAUUGUACAAUGGGCGAAAGCCUGAUACAGCGACGCCGCGUGGAGGAUGAAGAUCUUCGGAUUGUAAACUCCUUUUCUCAGGGAAGAACUAUGACGGUACCUGAGGAAUAAGUCACGGCUAACUACGUGCCAGCAGCCGCGGUAAUACGUAGGUGGCUAGCGUUAUCCGGAUUUAUUGGGCGUAAAGAGGGCGUAGGCGGCUCAGUAAGUCAGAUGUGAAAUCUCCCGGCUCAACUGGGAGGGGUCAUCUGAUACUGCUGGGCUUGAGGACAGUAGAAGGAGAUGGAAUUCCCGGUGUAGUGGUGAAAUACGUAGAUAUCGGGAGGAACACCAGUGGCGAAAGCGGUCUCCCGGACUGUCCCUGACGCUCAUGUCCGAAAGCGUGGGGAGCGAACAGGAUUAGAUACCCGAGUAGUCC